UGAUGGAUGCGCAGCAUGAAGUUUCUGCGGAGCAUGGCUUACACCCUGGGAAGAUAAGGAAAACUUUCUCUGGCGUUGCUGUGUCACUCCAUGCAGCUACAGAGGCCAAGCCCCAAGAGUCGCCAGCACAAUUCCAGCAGUGACUCUACUUCCUGCCCUCGAAUAUCAGGCUACAAGUUCAGGUUCACUUCAGCAAAAUCAAACCUACCAGGUUCGCAUAGGUCGUAUACUCUUUGUUAUUUGUCUCCAUUGCUCCUUAUGAUUGGGUUGUUUUUUUUAAGGCCUUUGAAACAAUUCCACGCAAGACAAUAUAAUCAUUCAUAAUACCAGUUUACCAUAUUUUUCUGUGUAUAAGACAACCCCUAUUUUUUGAGCCCAAAAUUAAGAAAUAAUUAAUCGCAACAUUCCAUGUAUAAGAAUGACCCCCAAUUUUAAAUUUAAAAAAACUGGGGAAAAUAUAUACAUAGUCUUAUACACAGAAAAAAUACAGUACUUAUUGGUUAGCAGAGUGGUUUUCGCCUCAUUGUAAAGUGCCCUAAGCAUGUAAGGAUAUAGCAACUAACAAAUGUGGUUAAAUAAAUAAGAGAGACUUCAUUUUCAUUUAUUUACCCUAAUAACUGUUUAAUGGGUAAGGCCCACAAUGCAAUGCUGUCAUUAUCCAAACUAAGUAAAUAGCCUUAAGAAGGCUGAUGAGGAGAAUUAUCACUGUGAAUUCUAGACAUGGGCAUCUGGUGAUUAUUAUUAUUUUGCCAUUUAUUUGUACAGUGUUUAAAAUAAAUUAUGUGCUACAAGGAUAAUUAAAAAAAAAAAAUCAAGUCUCAACCCAGAAGUUUGAGACUUGGUUUGAGACUCAGGGAGCAUGGUGUGGCCAAAAUCUCAUGGAGGGAGAACCAUAGGCUUUCCAUACAUACCAGUAACGGUAAUGAUUCAAGUAUUUCAUUGAUCUAAAAGCAACUCUUCAAUGUCUAGAUCUAAAAGUGCAAAUCAAAAGCUCAUUAUCUGGGGACUCAGAUGAGCUCUUAGGCACCGAUAUGUCUAAAGUCAGUGCUCACCUGCAAAAAGGUGUGAAAGUGGCAGCGGUUAUGGAGGCCAAUAAAGAAUUGGAUGCCUACAUUGACAGAAUUUCCCAAGCCCUUAUAGGCAUCCGAACGAAGACGUCAUCAAUCAGCUAAAAGAUAUUUCUCAAACUGCAAACCAAGUACUGAAUCUUACCACUACUAAUCAUGGUUAGCUCGUUCUACCUUAAAAUGCUUACUGUGGGCUGUUUCUUAAUGUUUGGUUCGAUUUCUACAUACAAAUUCAUCACAGAGAACUUCCCGAGAAAACGAUAAGAAGAAUUGUCACAACAAUGAUGCCAUGUAUCUUUGGAACAGUUGGCCUUAUUACGCACUGACAAACCUUCUAACAACUACUUAUCCAUUUUUGUUAAGAUGUUAUCUCUUAAUAUCUAGCCAUUUGAUUUUUGUGUUUCCCUGAAAGGUUUCUUGAGAACAUUAAAUCAAUAAAUGUCAACAUCUCACACAAAAUGAAGAUGAUUUAUGUUGCUACUCAGUCUAAAAAGAUAAUUGCAUGAAAAUCUGAUGGGCACAAAACCAUGUCUCAAGGUAACUAGAUCAGUCAGCAAUAGCACUGCAUUCAGUUCAAAGGGUAAACAAAAAGCCAAAGGCACAUAUUUUAUAGCCGGUCCUUGGUAAGAAAUUGCUUUUUAUAUAUGAUUCAUUUUUGCUGUUAAUAUGAUCCUAAAGCUACUCUAGUAAUUUUUCAUAAAGAAGAACUGCUCUCUGCAGCCUCACUGGAUUGGAAAGGUACAUUUAAUUUCGUAAAUAGCUUUCUAUAUCUUUUCUUUACAAAAAAUGAACUUUUACAACUCCAGAUCAUUUCAAUAAAUUGCGUCUUCGAAGCAAGAGCUUUCAACAGUUUAGAAGUAAUUGCCAGAACUCUUUGAACUGGUACCCAGAUGUUUAGCUAUCUAUACUGUUCAUUAACGUCGUAUCUUAAGAACCAUUUAAGAAGCAAAGGAAAUGGCUUAACUAAUGUCUAUUAGAAUAUGGCACAAACAGGAAGCAUUAGUCUGGAGGAAGCCGUGACAGAUUUAAAUGGUCUUGGAAUUACAGAUAAAAUAGGAGAAAGUGCUCAUUAAAGGCAUGGGCACCAUCAUGGAGGUCGUCUUUCAAAGCCAAAUGGUCGUUUUGCAUUUUACACAGAGUAUUUUAUGCAGCAUGGGCGUAGCCAGGAAUUCUGUUGGGGGAGGCAGAACCUCAGUAAGUUAUGCAUUUUUAUUGUUUUUUAUUGAUUUAGGGGGGCAGCUGCCCCUCCCUGACUCCAUUGGCUAUGCCGAUGAUAUGCGGGCUCACUGCAGAGCAUAUAUACUCAACAAGUUGUAGCAAUCAUGACUCCCUCCAGGAGUUGUGGAGAGUCACGGUGCUUAUUUUGCAUCCUUUCCCUUCAUAGCUCAGCAUGUAAUGUGUGGAUUAGCCCUAAAUGAUUUGAGGCCAAACAUGAUUUCAUUCAUAUUUUUUAGCCCUGGUGUGUAUGAUGAUGAUGAUGAUGAUGAAGGAGCAAGCCAGACAGGCACCAUUUGGGGGCUUCAUUUAUUUAUUUCAUAUAUUUAUACACCAGUUAAUGCCAGAAAGGUCUCCAAGUGGCCCACAAAAAUAUAACAAAGGAUUUGUGCUGUUUUCUGUAUUAUUGAAUUUGUAGGGAGCCAAUUUUAACGCAUUUUUAAUUAAAAUUCUUAAAAAGGAAGACAAAGAAAGGAUGAAACUUAAAAAAAGGACAAAACUAGAUGAUGGGUUGCAUAUGAAUGGGGGGAACUGAGUUGCUCUGGGGAUGGGAAAAUUAGUUGACCUGCCUUCUGUGAAAUCUAGAUUCUAGUAAAUAUUUCAAAAAUUUACAUACAUGCAUAUAAAUUGGCAAGGAUGCUUGGGUCUAUUGGGCUGGACUCCUAUUUUUUAAGUACCCAGCCACACCUUGAAAGGUGUAUCUAGGGGUUGGCCAGGUUGAUCCCAGCCUAAGGCACAGGACCAGGGGAGCUCACAAAUCAUGCCUCUCCACUCUGCCUAGGAGCCCACUCGGGGGCUGGUAUGCACACCAUGCCAUUCCGCUGCUGCUCUCAGAUUAAGAACACAGGUGAGGUUCUCUGGGUGCCUCGGCAGAGGAAUAUGGUCACUGGCAUGGGCCGUCACACCAGCUCAGUGGGACCCCCUCCUGAGUCCACCAGUGACACUAUUAGAAGUGUGAGUGAAGUGCCCAGUGGGGCUCAACAGUGCAAGGGAUGGGACAAGGCACAGAUACAGCUUCUUGCCAAGGGCGCAAGAGAGGCUAGGUAUGCCUCCACCCCUGACUUGAGAUAAAACAAAGGAUGAAGUGAACCAUGCUUUGAAGAAGUUGUGGUGGCUUUGACUCUCCUAGUAAAGAUUUGGAUAGCUGCUCUAUUUCGGGAGAAGAAAGAAUUUCCCCCUAGGUCAGAUGGCUGGCAUUUUUCAUGUUGCCCCCAGAGAACAUGGCAAGACUCCCUGGACAAAGCUUAUUCCUUUCCCCCAGGCAGCUCUGGCAAUGGGCACCAGGCUGAUUCCUGUUCCCUGCUUUUGGCUUGCUGUCUCUUUUGGAUUACAGCAACAGUCCUUUUCAGGGAGUCUGGCACAGAGAAUCCUGCCUCAAUGCGGUGGACAGAUGAUCCUUAACACCCCUACAGACCUACAAUUCUUUAAUUCUCGUUUUGUUUAUAAGGCUCUAUGCCACUGAAGAACUGCGCAGUAGAUCAGCGUGGGUUUUUCUGCCUGUUUACAUUUUUAACUGAUUCUGUCCUUUUUGUAAGUGGCCCUGGAAAUAUGAUUGAAGGGUAGUAUAAAAUACCUAAUCACAAUUGUGAAUUCAGGGAUGAUUCCUACAAUUCUUUUCGGAUUCUGAUGCAAAUGUAUCUGCUAUCUCAGCACAAGUAUCUCACACCAGUUGUGUAUGUGUAUUCGAAUCACCAAAAUACAAGGGGGAGGCCAAGACUUUGCCAACUGCCACUUUUUUUGCUGAAAGAAAUGGUUAUUUAAAUAGGUAGGUGUGAUGGCAGCUGGCAACAUUUUGACUUGGUAGGGCUGCAAUUUUUAACCUUCUUAAAACUUGUACAUGGAAUUCAGAUGGUAAAACAAUAAAAUGCAAUAUAAGAAAUAAAAGAAGCAACAGGAAUUCAAUUGAAUUUUUUUUUACUACAUCUUGCAUAGCACAUUACAAGAAGCAGAAAAAUCAUUAAGUGGUCCACUAAGUAGCCUCAUCAAUUUUCAAGAGGUCAGGACGAGAGAAGGGAGUUUGGGAACUACUGCCCUAAAGCAAUGUCCUUCGUGUGAGAAGGCAUCAGUUUACCCCAUUCUAGGGGAUCAUUUUCCUCUUCCUCAGCAUGACAUCUUCUUCCCAGAGACCUUCAUUCUCCAUGAUAGGAGAGGAAUGUUCACCCUGAGAAAGGGAAACCAUUAUCACAACCUCACUGAAGGCCUCACCCACCAACCUCUCUCAUUCCCUCAGGUUCUCUAGGUCAACUACUUUGUCCUAAAUCAGUGGUGUCCAAACUUUUUUCAAAGAGGGCCAGAUUUGAUGAAGUGAAGGGCCGUGGGGGCUGACCAAAGGGCCGACCAAAGUUGUUGAACUUUUUUAGGAUUGAAAUUCAUUGCACCAAGCCCACACCAAUGACUUCUGUCCAGCAGGCAGAUAAUCAUUGCACUCUGUGUAAUAUGGUGGAAAAUCCCAUGCAGCUACUACCUUCUUACCUUCAGAGUUGUUAGUGUUACUUGCUGUGCUUAUUCAAGUUGCUAUUAUUAUUUAUUGAGCUUGUUUGUGUGCAUUCAAAAGCCCUGCUGUUCUAUAUGUGAUAGUAUUGAUGGAUGCUUUAAACGCUGAUGGAUCUGAAGAAAACAUAAUGGGCUAAUGUGCCUGGAAUUUCACCACCCAUUCUACAAUUAAUAACUUAUAGUGCCAAUGCAUUACGAUAGUUAUUAAUAGGUCACAUUUUUCAUAUAGAGCAACUAGAAUUAACCACCCUUCAUUCGGACAUGAAGGGAACAUAUGUUACGCUAUUUCUUGUACUUCUAUUAUAAGUUUCAUACAUAUGUCUUAAUGGAAAGCACAGGCUCAUCUGGUAUCUCUGGAAGAGUUAUCUAAAUGAUUGCAAUCAAAUGGAAAUUAAAAGCAUCAGUAAUGUGCUGCCUCUUACAGAAUUCUUCUGCAGCAAAGUGGAAAUUAUUCUCAUCUUGUUAGACUUUCCUAGCAAAGUGGCCUGGAAGGAUAGAACUUGCUAACCAGAGCUAUUAUCCUAAAAGCACAUGUGAGUUUCUAAACGCUGCUGGCUCCAAUAGAAGAUCUAUACUUAAAAUCUAGGGGCUCAUAUACUUUUUGUAUCAGAAGCAAAAUGGGGGUUAUACCUCUAUUACAAUAUACAAAUUAAUCAGACAUAGUACUGUAUAAAUAGUGUUGAAAGUUAUUAAAUCUAAUAUCGGGAGAGCACACCUAUUAGGUAAAGAGGUAACUACAUUCAGCACCGUAACUACCCCCGGCAAAACAGACUUUCCUAACAUUGUUAGAACCCUCACAUAAAUAUAGGAUAUGACAUAUAUCCACAAAGGAACCCCUGAACAGAGAUGGGGAAGAAAUUUGUUUGCUCUGGAAUUUAAAGUGAAAUGACCCAGUUCAUCAGUCCCAGACUUACAUGUAUUUCAGAAUAUAGUUAUUAAUUUUGCAAUUCAAUUUUGAUUCAAAAAAACGUAGACAAUAAUGUGCUUCUUACAACAUGCAUAUAAGAAUAUAUAUUUUAGGGGAAGUAAAUGUGUAAGAUGCAUAUAAUUUAAAUGUAGAGGGGUUUUCAGUUGUUGUUUUAAAGUCUGCAAGAAACAGUUUUGCAGGCACUCGGUCCUAGGUCUGCUCCAUCCUAACACAGAACGAAAAUUGGCUGAUCCAUCCAUUGUGAUUCCAGAAGCAUGGUACCCAUCUAGGUGUUGCCAAAUGUGCAUACAACUCAAAAUACCAUAUUUUCUUGAAUGUAAAUUUUGGCCCAAUUACGUCACGAAAAUUAGGAUGCGCAUUAGAUUUGAUGGCGCAUUUACAUUCGCCAGCAAAUACUUUUUUGGUUUCAAGGUUUUGAAAACUGAGGUGCGCAUUAGAUUCUAUGGUGCAUUAGAUCUGUGUAAAUACAGUAUCUUGUUUGUAUUUUUUAAGUUGCUUAAUUGUGUGUUGCUGUCAUCUAAAUUGUCCUGGGAACAGGAUUGAAGGGUAGUAAUAAAUAUGAUACAAAUAUUUAGCUAGAUAAAUUAAUCAACAUUCCACUGGCCUCCUUUGCAGGUGCCACAGAACACAGCCUUCUCCAACCUGGUGCCCUUCAUAUGUUGUUGGACUACAACAUCCCAGCCAGCACGGCCAGUGGUCUGGAAUGAUGGCAACUUGCUUACUGGACGAGUCAACACUCUUUAGUGGGUAAAGUGAUAAGGCAGUUAGGCAUGGGGUGAAUACCAAGGCUAUCAAUGAGGUUGCCAGCCUGCAAACACCUAUUCCUGCUUGGAGAUUUCAAUGCCAGAGUUGGGGAUGAUCAUCACACAUGGGACAACUGCAUAAACCACUUUGGUACUGGCAGCAUGAAUGAAAACUGCAUAUGCUACUUGAGCUGUGCUCGCAUCACAGCCUCUGCAUCAGAAACACGUUCUUCUCUACCAAGACAAAACAGUGAGUGUCCUGGAGAUAUCUAAGGUCAAGCCACUGACACCACCUGGAGCUGAUUGUCACUAGGCAAUCGGCACUGUGUUCAUGUCACACAUAGCUGCCACAGUGCCAACUGUGGCACAGAUCACUCCCUGUGGGCGAGCAAAAUCUUUCUCCGUCCAAAGAGGAAUCACAGCACUAAGCAGAGAGUCCAGCCACAAAUCAGCAGUGCCAGAACAACAGUACCUGAAGUUGAUGAAUACUUCUCCAAUUCUGCCGAACAAGCUGUGGGUCUAUUGCCAUAAUGGCAAUAGAAUUCUCUUUAAUGUUUAUUUUAGGGUUGCCAUUUGUCCGGAAUUUCCUGGACGUGUCCAGGAUUUAACUAGCGAAAAUAGCGUCCGGGGGAAUUUUGGAAAAUCAGCAAAAUGACCUGG
Molecule: long non-coding RNA, 7106 nt
Filed under: Podarcis lilfordi (Lilford's wall lizard)
Lineage: Eukaryota; Metazoa; Chordata; Lepidosauria; Squamata; Lacertidae
Source: RNAcentral